CUCAAGUGAUCCUCCCACUUCAGUCUCCUGAGUAGCUGGGACUUCAGGUACAAGCCAUCAAGCACUGCCAAUUAGUGUACGAUUUCACAAAGAGAUAACUGAUACGAAGGAAAGCCACCUGGCUCUCUGAGAGCAUGCAUAGGACAGUGGAGCUGAUGUACAGGAAGAGUGGUCAGAAAAGCCUUCCUGGAGGAAGUGAUGUUUGAGCUGUUAAAGUCUGAAUAAAAGUUAACCAAGCCAAAAAAGGAGCCAAAACACUCAAGUGGUGCACUUGGGGACACACUGUGGCGUCUGUGGAGAGAAAGAAGAAGUUG
Molecule: long non-coding RNA, 314 nt
Filed under: Homo sapiens (human)
Lineage: Eukaryota; Metazoa; Chordata; Mammalia; Primates; Hominidae
Description: HSALNT0401075
Source: RNAcentral